CCUCCCAUUUUCCCACUCUCCCGCCAUCCCCCGCCUCAAAAAAAGGUCCCACUGCUUCCCCUCUCCCUCCCACACCAACACCUUUUCCUGUCCAAGAUCAGUCAUCAUCCCCAUUGUUCUCUCUCCCUCUCCCUUUCUCUUCUCAUCUCCCUCCCAAACCCAAGCCCAAACCCUAAAGAAUCUCGAAUAGGGUCCACUGGUCUCUCGGAUUUUGUUUUUCCUCAUCCGAUCCCGUUUAUAUCUAUAUAGAUUGAGAUUGUGGUGUUGGGGGGCAAGGAAAAAAGAAAAGAAAGCAGGCGGUCGUCAUCAUGCCGUCCGGGGCGAAGAAGAGGAAAGCAGCCAAGCGCAAGAAGGAGAAGGAGGAGAAGGGGAAGGAGAAAAAGGAGGAGACGGGCAGCAUCCCCCAUCCACCCGUUUCCCCAUCUAAUGACCCUCUUCCCUCCCCUCCACCUCAACCUGAAGGUGAUGGACAUGAGCAUCGGAUGCCCCACGACAACGGGAGGCGGAGCGAGACGCUGUCGGAGACGCCAUUUGCGACCCGGUUGUCUCCGGCGAACCAUCCUCUGGCCGAGGAGACAGGGGAGGAAACUCCUGGAUUUCACCGCGUUGCCGUUAAUUCAGCGGUUGAGAGCUGGGAAAAUGGUAACGGAGAGACCGACGAGCCGGCGGUUGACAGGCAGCCAGAUGAGCGUGCUAACGAAGAUGCGACCGAGCUGGGAGUGGAAACGGUGGCUGCUGCGGGAGAUGAGGUGGGGAAGGGAGAGUCUCGCGAAGCGGAGGAUGCGGAAGGGACCGAAAUGGAGAAACCGGCGGAGGAAUCGGUUGUUGCUGUCGAGCAGAGCGUGCUUACAACUGAAGAGGUGGAACAAGAAACAGAAGACCCAGUUGAGAUUCUGAAAGAAGCUCCGGUUGGGAUAUCCCAUAAAUGUGGAUUGAAGGUAGUGGCUCUGGCAGCGAAGGAUGAGAUCAAAGAAGAGCCAUCAUAUGAACGGGAAGCGAAGGUUGUGCCUCUGCCCGGUGAGGACGAGGUCAGAGAAGAGGAGGCAUCCUAUGAACGCGAAGUUAAGAUUGUGCCUCUACCAGAUGAGGAUGAGGUCAAAAAUCGGCCAUCCUAUGAAUGCGAAGUUAAGGUAGUGCCUCAGCCAGAUAAUAAUGAGACCAAAGAACUGCCAUGGCAUGAAAAUGGUGCGAUUGUAUUGCCUCUGACAGAUAAGGAUGAGGUUAAAGAACGGCCAUCUCAUAAACAUGAAGGGAAAGUAGCAGCUCUGAUAGAUGAGGAUAAGGUUAAAGAACAUCCACCCCAUCAAUGUGAAGUGAAGGUAGUGGCUCUGUCAGCGAAGGACGAGAUCAAAGAAGAGCCAUCAUACGAAUGGGAAGUGAAGAUUGUGCCUCUGCCAGGUGAGAAGGAGGUCAGAGAAGAGGCAUCGUAUGAACGCGAAGUUAAGGUUGUGCCUCUGCCAUCAUAUGAAUGCAAAGUGAAGGUAGUGCCUCGGCCAGAUAAGAAUGGGGUUAAAGAAUGGCCAUCCCAUGAACACGAUGCUCCACCAGAUAAGGAUGAGGUUAAAGAAUGGCCAUACCAUGAACGUGAAGGGAAAGUAGUGGCUCUGCCAGAUGAGGAUAAGGUUAAAGAACAGCCAUCCUAUGAACGUGAAGGGAAAGUAGUGGCUCUGCCAGAUGAGGAUGUAACUCGAGAACAGUUUUAUGCGAGUAGGGAAGCCAUCCAAGGUCCCGGACGAGCGGAGGCUAUACCAUAUACUGAGGUUGCACCGUGUUCCCCAUUGGUAGUGCAUCCUGCGAGGUGGUGGAAUUGCUGUGGACUUGUUGAUGUUCUUGUUGGUUCUGAAAGAUAAUCUCAGGAGGCCCUAAAGAAGAGACUUUCAAUGUACCUCAUUCUUGUAGACAGAUGUGAAGUUCCUUUUCAUUUUGGCCACCUUUGCAAAACUUUGGUGCUUUGCAUCCUUGAUGCUGAAAACUCGCAGUCUUAAUGCUGAGCUUGAGACCUUACAAAUUUCCAUAAAAUAACCCCUGACGAAGCAGGAAAUGAAGAUGUAGUAUGAUAAUUGAUAAAGAUUUGUAAUAGUAAGGCUAAUUGGUAUUAGUCAAAGGAAUUAUGAAGUUUUAGAUUUUUGAAUAAGCGAUGGUAAAAUUUUGUGAUUGCUAAUAUCUGUGGCAUGGUGGCUUCAGAGAUAUCCAGAAUGUGUAGCCCAGAAACAAAUAUUCUCCUUUUUACUCUUCCCAUUAGCUAAUUAUUGUGAAGUUCUCAAAUAUAUGAACCCGUAUAUAUGCAUUUUUGCAUUUGCUGUUAUGUGUUUUUGAUGUGUAAAUGUAUGCGUGCUUGUCAAUAU
Molecule: RNA transcript, 2345 nt
Organism: Elaeis guineensis (African oil palm)
Lineage: Eukaryota; Viridiplantae; Streptophyta; Magnoliopsida; Arecales; Arecaceae
Source: RefSeq, a predicted model, not a curated record